This 497-nucleotide ribosomal RNA is filed under the name uncultured bacterium. RNAcentral's name for it is "partial 16S ribosomal RNA". It matches the Rfam family "Bacterial small subunit ribosomal RNA", at positions 28 to 507 of the family's 1533-position model. The record is from RNAcentral.
GAUGAACGCUGGCGGCGUGCCUAAUACAUGCAAGUCGAGCGAACAGACGAGGAGCUUGCUCCUCUGACGUUAGCGGCGGACGGGCGAGUAACACGUGGAUAACCUACCUAUAAGACUGGGAUAACUUCGGGAAACCGGAGCUAAUAAUGGAUAAUAUAUUGAACCGCAUGGUUCAAUAGUGAAUGACGGUUUUGCUGUCACAUAUAGAUGGAUCCGCGCCGCAUUAGCUAGUUGGUAAGGUAACGGCUUACCAAGGCAACGAUGCGUAGCCGACCUGAGAGGGUGAUCGGCCACACUGGAACUGAGACACGGUCCAGACUCCUACGGGAGGCAGCAGUAGGGAAUCUUCCACAAUGGGCGAAAGCUUGACGGAGCAACGCCGCGUGAGUGAUGAAGGUCUUCGGAUCGUAAAACUCUGUUAUUAGGGAAGAACAACUGUGUAAGUAACUAUGCACGUCUUGACGGUACCUAAUCAGAAAGCCACGGCUAACUACGUG